GGUAAUUGACUGUGAAAUCGU
This 21-nucleotide microRNA is filed under the name Malus domestica (apple). RNAcentral describes it as "mdm-miR10984a-5p". Lineage: Eukaryota; Viridiplantae; Streptophyta; Magnoliopsida; Rosales; Rosaceae. The record is from miRBase by way of RNAcentral.